GUCUACGCCGUAAACGAUGCGCACUAGGUUUGUACGUCACUGACGGCGUGCGAACCGAAACAAAAGCGAUAAGUGCGCCGCCUGGGGAGUACGGCCGCAAGGCUAAAACUCAAAGGAAUUGACGGGGGCUCACACAAGCGGUGGAGCAUGUGGCUUAAUUCGAGGCAACGCGAAGAACCUGACCAGGGUUUGACAUGCAUGGAUUAGUCCCGUGAAAGCGGGAUGACGCGGCUUGCCGUGGAACAUGCACAGGUGCUGCAUGGCUGUCGU
This 270-nucleotide ribosomal RNA is filed under the name uncultured bacterium. Its description in RNAcentral is "partial 16S ribosomal RNA". It matches the Rfam family "Bacterial small subunit ribosomal RNA", at positions 793 to 1055 of the family's 1533-position model. The record is from RNAcentral.